CUUGAUUUAAAUGGUGGGACGGU
This 23-nucleotide non-coding RNA is filed under the name Rattus norvegicus (Norway rat). Lineage: Eukaryota; Metazoa; Chordata; Mammalia; Rodentia; Muridae. The record is from RNAcentral.